AGCGGCGGACGGGUGAGUAACGCGUGGGUAACCUGCCUCAUACAGGGGGAUAACAGUUGGAAACGGCUGCUAAUACCGCAUAAGCGCACAGUACCGCAUGGUACGCUGUGAAAAACUCCGGUGGUAUGAGAUGGACCCGCGUCUGAUUAGGUAGUUGGUGGGGUAACGGCCUACCAAGCCGACGAUCAGUAGCCGACCUGAGAGGGUGACCGGCCACAUUGGGACUGAGACACGGCCCAA
This 240-nucleotide ribosomal RNA is filed under the name uncultured bacterium. RNAcentral describes it as "partial 16S ribosomal RNA". It matches the Rfam family "Bacterial small subunit ribosomal RNA", at positions 94 to 334 of the family's 1533-position model. The record is from RNAcentral.